GCCGCUAUAGCUCAGCCGUGGUAGAGCAGCUGACUUGUAAUCAGCAGGUCCCGAGUUCGACUCUUGGUGGCGGCACCA
RNAcentral lists this transfer RNA (78 nucleotides) under OM182 bacterium BACL3 MAG-120507-bin80. Its description in RNAcentral is "tRNA-Thr". It matches the Rfam family "tRNA". Rfam says of the family: Transfer RNA (tRNA) molecules are approximately 80 nucleotides in length. Their secondary structure includes four short double-helical elements and three loops (D, anti-codon, and T loops). Lineage: Bacteria; Pseudomonadati; Pseudomonadota; Gammaproteobacteria. The record is from RNAcentral. RNAcentral also lists the same sequence under 20 other names.